UGUCACGCCAGUGGCAUCGCCGGGUAGCUAUGUUCGGAAGAGAUAACCGCUGAAAGCAUCUAAGCGGGAAACUCGCCUUAAGAUGAGAUAUCCCUGGGGACUAGAUCCCCUUGAAGGGUCGUUCGAGACCAGGACGUUGAUAGGUCAGGUGUGUAAGCGCAGUAAUGCGUUCAGCUAACUGAUACUAAUUGCCCGUAAGGCUUGAUCCUAUAACA
Molecule: ribosomal RNA, 215 nt
Filed under: Burkholderia puraquae
Lineage: Bacteria; Pseudomonadati; Pseudomonadota; Betaproteobacteria; Burkholderiales; Burkholderiaceae
Description: partial 23S ribosomal RNA
Rfam family: Bacterial large subunit ribosomal RNA
Source: RNAcentral